Molecule: transfer RNA, 67 nt
Filed under: Friesea propria
Lineage: Eukaryota; Metazoa; Arthropoda; Collembola; Poduromorpha; Neanuridae
Description: tRNA-Gln
Source: RNAcentral
UAUAGUUUAGUGUUAUGGCACAUUAAUUUUUGAAGUUAGGGGGAAUAAUUUAUUUUAUUAACUAUAA